Molecule: transfer-messenger RNA, 424 nt
Filed under: Candidatus Omnitrophota
Lineage: Bacteria; Pseudomonadati
Also listed under: 1 other name
Description: UBA9636 sp003451585 Standard tmRNA
Rfam family: transfer-messenger RNA
About the family: Bacterial tmRNA, also known as 10Sa RNA or SsrA, is named for its dual tRNA and mRNA-like properties.
Source: RNAcentral
GGGGCUGAUUGGGCUCGAUUCAGGUAUGUCGGGUGCUGGCAGCAUGCCGAGGUUGUAAGGAGGCCUCGUAAAACACCUUACACCAUACAAACGCUGAAAAUCAAAGAUUGCUAGAGAAGGCAAACGCGAUCGUUGCGCCUAUAAUGGGUGCUCCAGUCGUUAUGCCGAUGCUGGCAGGCGUUCGUUAAGCCUUAGUUCACUCGCUGAGCUAAGCCGCUAUCGGGUGAGUCUGCGCAUCUGAAUAGCGCGCUAGCAGACUGGUCCUGGUUUUCGCCUCUGGAGCCGGGAUGAGAUAGAAAGAGGAUGGUCCCGUAAGAUCCUGUCUAUUGGAGAUUGCGGGAUGACGAUAAAAAACAGACUAAGCAUGUAGCGGCUUUCACUUCUCUACUUGAGGACGCGGGUUCGAUUCCCGCCAGCUCCACCA